RNAcentral lists this ribosomal RNA (484 nucleotides) under uncultured bacterium. RNAcentral describes it as "partial 16S ribosomal RNA". It matches the Rfam family "Bacterial small subunit ribosomal RNA", at positions 30 to 507 of the family's 1533-position model. The record is from RNAcentral.
AUUGAACGCUGGCGGCAUGCCUUACACAUGCAAGUCGAACGGCAGCGCGGGAGCAAUCCUGGCGGCGAGUGGCGAACGGGUGAGUAAUACAUCGGAACGUGCCCAAUCGUGGGGGAUAACGCAGCGAAAGCUGUGCUAAUACCGCAUACGAUCUACGGAUGAAAGCAGGGGAUCGCAAGACCUUGCGCGAAUGGAGCGGCCGAUGGCAGAUUAGGUAGUUGGUGAGGUAAAGGCCCACCAAGCCUUCGAUCUGUAGCUGGUCUGAGAGGACGACCAGCCACACUGGGACUGAGACACGGCCCAGACUCCUACGGGAGGCAGCAGUGGGGAAUUUUGGACAAUGGGCGAAAGCCUGAUCCAGCCAUGCCGCGUGCAGGAUGAAGGCCUUCGGGUUGUAAACUGCUUUUGUACGGAACGAAACGGUCUUUUCUAAUAAAGAAGGCUAAUGACGGUACCGUAAGAAUAAGCACCGGCUAACUACGUG